ACAAUAACGCUAGCUUAAUUAUAAUUAUAAAUUAAUAACUAAACUAAAACAUUUAACUAUCAUAGUAUAGGCGAUAAAAAAGAUAUUUAAAGCCAUAGAAAUAGUACCGCAAGGAAAAGCUGAAAAAGAAAUUAAAUAAACCAUAAAAGUAAAAUAAAGCAAGAAUUAACUUCUGUACCUUUUGCAUCAUGGUCUAACUAGUCAUUAUAGAGCAAAAAGAAUUUAAGUCCUAAUACCCGAAACUAGACGAGCUAUUUAAAAGCAGCUUAACAUUAGAGCUUAUCCGUCUCUGUAGCAAAAGAGUGGAAAGACUUUUAAAUAGAGGCAAAACACCUAACGAGCCUAGUGAUAGCUGGUUGCUUGAUAAACGAGUUGUAGCUCCGCUUUAAAUUAUUCUUUUAAUACCAAACAAUAAAAAUAUAAAUUUAAAAGUUAUUCAAAAGGGGAACAGCCCUUAUGAAAAAGGAUACAACCUAUAACAUUAGGUAAUGAUUAUAAUUCUUAAGGCUAAAAUCACUAGUGGGCCUAAAAGCAGCCAUCUAUAAUAAAAGCGUCACAGCUUAACCUUAAUAUAACCCUAAAUACCAAUAAUUAUUCAAAACCUUAAAAACUAAACAAGCUUCACUAUAAACCUUAUAGUAAAAUUAAUGUUAGAAUUAGUAAUAAGAAAAUACGAUUUUCUCUAUUCCACAUGUGUAUAUCAGCAUGAACAAUUCACUGGUAAUUAUCAAUCCUAAUCAAAAACUUUUUCACCUGAAACACAAUUUACAAUUAUUGUUAAUCCUACACAGGAGUGGAAACGAAAGAUUUAAAAAUAAAAAAGGAAUUCAGCAAACACAAGCUUCGCCUGUUUACCAAAAACAUCACCUCUAGCUAAGUACACAAAUAUUAGAGGCAAUGCCUGCCCAGUGAAAAUUUUUAACGGCCGCGGUAUUCCGACCGUGCAAAGGUAGCAUAAUCACUUGUCUUUUAAAUCAAGACUAGUAUGAAUGGCAAAACGAAAGCUUAACUGUCUCCUUUAUUUAAUCAAUGAAAUUGAACUUCUUGUACAAAAGCAAGAAUACACAAAUAAGACGAGAAGACCCUAUGGAACUUAAACCACACUACCAAUUUAAUUUAUAAAAUCUUAAACACUGGAUCUGUUGGUUUUGGUUGGGGUGACCACGGAGCAAAACAAUCCUCCGAGAUAAUAUAACUAAGAUACACAUAACAAAGUAUUAAAAACUUAAAACCUUGACCCAAUACAUUUGAUAAACGAACCAAGCUACCCUAGGGAUAACAGCGCAAUCUUCUUUAAGAGUCCAUAUCACCAAGAAGGUUUACGACCUCGAUGUUGGAUCAGGAUAUCCAAACAGUGCAGCCGCUGUUAAUGGUUUGUUUGUUCAACAAUUAAAAUCCUACGUGAUCUGAGUUCAGACCGGAGUAAUCCAGGUCAGUUUCUAUCUAUUAAAUUAUUCUUUUUAAUACGAAAGGACCAAAAGAAUAGGACCUAUGCUACAAGUAUGUCCUCAUAAAUCUUAUGAAUUCAACUCAAGAAUAUCAUAAUACUAACCCCUAAAUAAGGGGUUU
This 1569-nucleotide ribosomal RNA is filed under the name Schistometopum gregorii. Its description in RNAcentral is "16S ribosomal RNA". It matches the Rfam family "Bacterial large subunit ribosomal RNA". The record is from RNAcentral. Lineage: Eukaryota; Metazoa; Chordata; Amphibia; Gymnophiona; Dermophiidae.